GAUGAACGCUAGCGGGAGGCCUAACACAUGCAAGCCGAGCGGUAUUUGUUCUUCGGAACAGAGAGAGCGGCGCACUGGUGCGGAACACGGUUGCAACCUGCCUUUAUCUGGGGGAUAGCCGUUCGAAAGGAAGAUCAAUACCCAAUAAUAUAUUGAGUGGCAUCACUUGAUAUUGAAAACUCAGGGGGAUAGAGAUCGGCACGCGCAAGAUUGGAUAGUUGGUGAGGUAACGGCUCACCAAGUCAAUGAUCUUUAGGGGGGCUGAGAGUGUGAGCCCCCAGACUGGUACUGAGGCACGGACCAGAAUCGUAGGGGAGGCAGCAGUGAGGAAUAUUGGGGAAUGGGUUAGGACCUGAUCCAGCCAUGCCGCGUGAAGGACGACGGCCGUAUGGGUUGUAAUCCUCUUUUGUAUAGGGAUGAACAUACUAUAGCGAGAGUAGCUGAAGGUACUAUACGAAUAAGCACCGGCUAACUCCGUG
This 479-nucleotide ribosomal RNA is filed under the name uncultured bacterium. Its description in RNAcentral is "partial 16S ribosomal RNA". It matches the Rfam family "Bacterial small subunit ribosomal RNA", at positions 28 to 507 of the family's 1533-position model. The record is from RNAcentral.